RNAcentral lists this ribosomal RNA (462 nucleotides) under uncultured bacterium. RNAcentral describes it as "bacterial SSU rRNA". It matches the Rfam family "Bacterial small subunit ribosomal RNA", at positions 355 to 825 of the family's 1533-position model. The record is from RNAcentral.
UAAGGAAUAUUGCGCAAUGGGCGACAGCCUGACGCAGCGACGCCGCGUGGGGGAUGAAGGUCUUCGGAUUGUAAACCCCUUUCGGCAGGGAAGAUGGAACGGGUAACCGUUCGGACGGUACCUGCAGAAGCAGCCACGGCUAACUUCGUGCCAGCAGCCGCGGUAAUACGAAGGUGGCAAGCGUUGUUCGGAUUUACUGGGCGUACAGGGAGCGUAGGCGGUUGGGUAAGCCCUCCGUGAAAUCUCCGGGCCUAACCCGGAAAGUGCGGAGGGGACUGCUCGGCUAGAGGAUGGGAGAGGAGCGCGGAAUUCCCGGUGUAGCGGUGAAAUGCGUAGAGAUCGGGAGGAAGGCCGGUGGCGAAGGCGGCGCUCUGGAACAUAUCUGACGCUGAGGCUCGAAAGCGUGGGGAGCAAACAGGAUUAGAUACCCCUGUAGUCCCUGAGCGGGCUGGCAAGGCGCAU